CAGCGUUCCUUCGUUCCUCCUUCAUAGGAGGAGCGUUCGUGUCGCGUUACGCGGACGCUUUGUUAACAUUGUUCUCGUCGCUGUCCACGCUGAACGAUUCUAACCUGUUGUUGGCGAUGCACACGGUGCACACAGGCUCCAGAGGAUGCAAUCCUGCUUUUCUUUCACAAAAGAAGGUGGACAUGAAAGAACGUCGAGUGGGACUGAACAAAGGAGCUCCUCAGAUAAAAACUAUCAGUUUCACACUGGACAUAGGAAUACAAAGGAUUAAUUUGUAGAAUAUUUUAUAUCUUCAGUCACUUCAGCAUACGUUUCGUUUGCAUUAAAACCAAAAAUGUAACGUGUCUGUCCUUUUCCUAUAAAACGAAAGAAACAUUUGGAACAACCUGA
This is a long non-coding RNA of Bombus terrestris (buff-tailed bumblebee), 390 nucleotides long. RefSeq lists it as uncharacterized. NCBI's taxonomy places the organism in Eukaryota, Metazoa, Arthropoda, Insecta, Hymenoptera, Apidae. The record is from RefSeq and is a predicted model, not a curated record. The transcript has 2 exons.